UGAGGAAUAUUGGUCAAUGGACGCAAGUCUGAACCAGCCAAGUAGCGUGCAGGAUGACGGCCCUAUGGGUUGUAAACUGCUUUUAUAUGGGGAUAAAGUGGGGAACGUGUUCCCUUUUGCAGGUACCAUAUGAAUAAGGACCGGCUAAUUCCGUGCCAGCAGCCGCGGUAAUACGGAAGGUUCGGGCGUUAUCCGGAUUUAUUGGGUUUAAAGGGAGCGUAGGCCGUUUGGUAAGCGUGUUGUGAAAUGUAGGAGCUCAACUUCUAGAUUGCAGCGCGAACUGUCAGACUUGAGUGCGCACAACGUAGGCGGAAUUCAUGGUGUAGCGGUGAAAUGCUUAGAUAUCAUGAAGAACUCCGAUUGCGAAGGCAGCUUACGGGAGCGCAACUGACGCUGAAGCUCGAAGGUGCGGGCAUCGAACAGGAUUAGAUACCCUGGUAGUCCGCACAGUAAACGAUGGAUGCCCGCUGUUAGCACCUAGUGUUAGCGGCUAAGCGAAAGCAUUAAGCAUCCCACCUGGGGAGUACGCCGGCAACGGUG
Molecule: ribosomal RNA, 540 nt
Filed under: uncultured bacterium
Lineage: Bacteria
Description: bacterial SSU rRNA
Rfam family: Bacterial small subunit ribosomal RNA
Source: RNAcentral